AAAGGAAUAGACGGGGGCCCGCACAAGCGGAGGAACAUGUGGUUUAAUUCGAUGAUACGCGAGGAACCUUACCUGGGCUUAAAUGGGGAGUGACAGUAGUGGAAACACUAUUUUCUUCGGACACUCUUCAAGGUGCUGCAUGGUUGUCGUCAGCUCGUGCCGUGAGGUGUCGGGUUAAGUCCCAUAACGAGCGCAACCCUUGUCGAUAGUUGCCAGCAUGUCAUGGUGGGGACUCUAUCGAGACUGCCGGUGUAAACCGUGAGGAAGGUGGGGAUGACGUCAAAUCAGCACGGCCCUUAUGUCCAGGGCUACACACGUGUUACAAUGGUCGGUACAAUGGGCAGCUACCCAGUGAUGGGGUGCUAAUCUUUAAAACCGAUCUCAGUUCGGAUCGAAGUCUGCAACUCGACUUCGUGAAGCUGGAUUCGCUAGUAAUCGCACAUCAGCCAUGGUGCGGUGAAUACGUUCCCGGGCCUUGUACACACCGCCCGU
Molecule: ribosomal RNA, 492 nt
Filed under: uncultured bacterium
Lineage: Bacteria
Description: bacterial SSU rRNA
Rfam family: Bacterial small subunit ribosomal RNA
Source: RNAcentral